Molecule: ribosomal RNA, 507 nt
Filed under: uncultured Glomeromycotina
Lineage: Eukaryota; Fungi; Glomeromycota
Description: SSU rRNA
Rfam family: Eukaryotic small subunit ribosomal RNA
Source: RNAcentral
GGCAGCCGCGGUAAUUCCAGCUCCAAUAGCGUAUAUUAAAGUUGUUGCAGUUAAAAAGCUCGUAGUUGAAUUUCGGGGUUAGUAGGUUGGUCAUGCCUCUGGUAUGUACUGGUCUCACUGAUUCCUCCUUCCUGAUGAACCUUAAUGCCAUUAAUUUGGUGUUUUGGGGAAUUUGGACUGUUACUUUGAAAAAAUUAGAGUGUUUAAAGUAAGCUAACGCUUGAAUACAUUAGCAUGGAAUAAUGAAAUAGGACGUUCGAUCCUAUUUUGUUGGUUUCUAGGAUUGACGUAAUGAUUAAUAGGGAUAGUUGGGGGCAUUAGUAUUCAAUUGUCAGAGGUGAAAUUCUUGGAUUUAUUGAAGACUAACUACUGCGAAGGCAUUUGCCAAGGAUGUUUUCAUUAAUCAAGAACGAAAGUUAGGGGAUCGAAGACGAUCAGAUACCGUCGUAGUCUUAACCAUAAACUAUGCCGACUAGGGAUCGGAUGAUGUUAAUUUUAUAAUGACUC